UGCCAGCCGCCGCGGUAAUACGUAGGGUCCGAGCGUUGUCCGGAAUUACUGGGCGUAAAGAGCUCGUAGGUGGUUUGUCGCGUUGUUCGUGAAAACUCACAGCUUAACUGUGGGCGUGCGGGCGAUACGGGCAGACUGGAGUACUGCAGGGGAGACUGGAAUUCCUGGUGUAGCGGUGGAAUGCGCAGAUAUCAGGAGGAACACCGGUGGCGAAGGCGGGUCUCUGGGCAGUAACUGACGCUGAUGAACGAAAGCUAGGGUAUCAAACGGGAUUAGAUA
This 279-nucleotide ribosomal RNA is filed under the name uncultured bacterium. Its description in RNAcentral is "partial 16S ribosomal RNA". It matches the Rfam family "Bacterial small subunit ribosomal RNA", at positions 506 to 784 of the family's 1533-position model. The record is from RNAcentral.